This 262-nucleotide ribosomal RNA is filed under the name uncultured bacterium. Its description in RNAcentral is "partial 16S ribosomal RNA". It matches the Rfam family "Bacterial small subunit ribosomal RNA", at positions 515 to 776 of the family's 1533-position model. The record is from RNAcentral.
CCGCGGUAAUACGUAGGGUGCGAGCGUUGUCCGGAAUUAUUGGGCGUAAAGGGCUCGUAGGCGGUUUGUCGCGUCGGGAGUGAAAACGCCGUGCUUAACACGGCGCUUGCUUUCGAUACGGGCAGACUAGAGGUAUGCAGGGGAGAACGGAAUUCCUGGUGUAGCGGUGAAAUGCGCAGAUAUCAGGAGGAACACCGGUGGCGAAGGCGGUUCUCUGGGCAUGUCCUGACGCUGAGGAGCGAAAGUGUGGGGAGCGAACAGG